AUCUACAGCCAAGCCACCCUGAACAAGCCUGAUCUUGUUUGAUCUUGGAAGUUUAGCGGGGUCGGGUCUAGUUAGCACUUGGAUGAGAGACCUCCUAGGAAGACCAGGUACUGUAGGCA
This 119-nucleotide ribosomal RNA is filed under the name Pteropus alecto (black flying fox). The record is from RNAcentral. Lineage: Eukaryota; Metazoa; Chordata; Mammalia; Chiroptera; Pteropodidae.